Long non-coding RNA from Mirounga angustirostris (Northern elephant seal), 3307 nucleotides. RefSeq lists it as uncharacterized. Lineage: Eukaryota; Metazoa; Chordata; Mammalia; Carnivora; Phocidae. The record is from RefSeq and is a predicted model, not a curated record. The transcript has 3 exons.
CAGUAUCCCACUUUUUUUUUUUUCUUUUUUUAAAGAGAAAGAGAAAGUGCCAGCAGGGAGGGGCAGAGGGAGAGGGGGAGAGAAUCCCAAGCAGGCUCCACACUCCAGUGCAGACCCCAACGUUGGGCUCAAUCUCAGGACCGUGAGAUGACCUGAGCCAAAAUCAAGAGUCGGACAUUUAACCAACUAAGCCACCCAGGUAGGUCAGCUGUCUCUCCCGGUCCUGAAAGUAGUGGCCUUGUGUGGAAGAGGUCCUGUGGUGCCCUACAGCGCAAUCCCCCCAGUCACCAGAACCAGGCACUUUUCGAGCUGCUGCUUUGCUGUGUUCCUGGCGAGUUACUGAGCAUGCUGGUUCUUUAAAGGUGGGGACUCCGUUUCCUAUCAUCCUCGGGUUCUCCUGGACUUCAGCACUGUUGAUUUUCAAAGCCAGAUGUUAUAGGGGCUUGUCUUCUCAGUCCAAGUCCCCAGGGCCUGGGGUGGGGUCUGAUUCCCUCCUUCCUCCAUGUUUGGGACGCCCCUCCCAUUUGUGGUUAGUUGUGCUGGGAGUGGUCCCCAACUGCUGACACGGCCUUUCCUCUACAACUAGCUUGGGAAGACGCGGUUUGCCAGUCUUUCGGUCAUUUUCAGAGUUAGUACAAUACAUGUAGCUGUUGCCUUGGUUUGGCUGUGGGACAAAAUGAACUCAAGACCCUCCUACUCUGCUAUCUUCUCAUCUCCCUUUUUUUUAAUAAUUUUUUUUUUUAAACAAUUAUGGUUGUUUUGCUGGGAAGUGGAUCUCUGAAGCUCCUCUUCCAGAAAUCACUGGAAGUCACUAUCAUUCCAGUUCUCACCCACUUAAUUCUUAUGUCUUUUGAUGUCAUUUACAUGCCAGUUCUUCAUUUAAAGCGGCCAAAAUCGAUUCAUUCUUGAGAAACAAGGCCAUUCUUGAGAGCUCUUUUAUUCCCGUCACAAAUUACAGAAUAUUUUGAAACACUUGUGCAUUUCAAGAGAGGUAGGAAAAUAACUGAAGAAAUAGCAACUCUAAUUCUAUAAUUUUUUUAAGUAGGCUCCAUACCCAGCGUGGAGCCCAACAUGGGGCCUGAACUCAUGACCCCGAGAUCAAAAUCUAAGCUGAGAUCAAGAGUCGGAUGCUCAACUGACUGAGCCAUACAGGUGCCCGCAAUUCUAUUUAUUUUCUAGCAUAAAUUUCAAGGUUACUCUGCUUAUGUUUACAAAAAAAAAAAAAAAAUCAGAACUGAAACAACAACCAAAAGAACAAAAACAGCUUGUAAUGUAUUUAACCAUAAUUUUGUGACUAGCAUUUUCAAAGGAAAAAAUAUUUUUUUUACUUAAAACUGGAAAAAAAAAAUCCUAAUACAAAAUAGUAAUAGAUUUUUUUUAAAAAGUACAAAACAGUAAAAGUGAACUGUUCCCGGGGCGCCUGGGUGGCUCAGAUGAUUGAGCAUCUGCCUUCGGCUCAGGUCAUGAUCCCAGGGUCCUGGGAUCGAGUCCCGCAUUGGGCUCCCUGCUCCUUGGGAGCCUGCUUCUCCCUCUGCCUCUCUGUCUCUCUCUCUCUCAUGAAUAAAUAAAUAAAAUCUUUAAAAAAAAAAAAAAAAAGAACUGUUCCCUUUCCCAUCUGAGGAGCCACUGGUAAUAGUGGUUUUAGACCUUUUUAUAUGCAUAUAUUAAAAACACAGAUAUAUAUUUUUGGUGUUUUUUUUGUUUUGUUUUUUUAAGAUUUUAUUUAUUUAUUUGACAGAGAGAGACACAGUGAGAGAGGGAACAUAAACAGGGGGAAUGGGAGAGGGAGAAGCAGACUUCCCGCAGAGCAGGGAGCCCGAUGCGGGGCUUGAUCCCAGGACCCUGGGAUCAUGACCCGAGCCGAAGGCAGACGCUUAACGACUGAGCCACCCACGUGCCCCGGUGUUUUUUUGUUUUUAAUUGAAAAGAUCUAUACUGUUCUAAAACCUGCCCCUUUUCCACUUGAUACAUGACAUCCUUUUCAGCCAUCCAUAUGCAAAUGACUCAGGCCACAUUUCAUGAUACAGAUUUAUCACAGCUCUCCUGUUAGGUAUUUACAUACUUCGUUUCAUUAUCACAACAAAUAAUCAUACAGUAAGCAUCACUGUGCAGACAACUUUCCAUACUCCUAUAGAACAGAGCUGUCUUACUCUGAUCGCUGAGUUAAAGGGUAUCCAUAUAUUAAAUAGGGAUAAUAUAGGCCACAUUCUUCUCUAGAAUUGUAUCAUUUUCACUUCUAACAGUGUAUCAGAGUGUUUUUCCUCCAUAUCCUCAAAAAGAUUGGAUGUAACAGUCUUUUGCCAUCCUGAUGUAACUAAGUUUGUACUUUCCCUUUUUAACAAAAGAAAUGGAUAUUUCACUAAAUAAUGAGAUUGAGCAUUUUUUCAUGUCUGUUAUGAACUGAAUCAUGUUCCCCCCAAAUUAGUAUGUUGAACCUCUAACCCCCUCUGUGACUACAUUUGAAGAUAGGGUCUUUAAAGAGGUAACUAAUGUUAAAUGAGGCCAUAAGGGAGGGGCCCUAGUCCAAUAUAACUCGUGUCCUUAUGAGAAAAGGACACCAGAGAGAUGCAGGUGUACACAGAGCAAAGGCCAUCUGCAACCCAAGGAGAGAGGCCAUGGGAGCCAAACCUAUUGACAUCCUGAUCUUUGAUUUCCAGUCUCUAGACUGUGAGAAACAAAUUUCUGUUGUUUAAGCCACAGUCUGUGGUAUUCUGUUAUGGUAGCCCUAGCAAACUAAUAUGUCAUAUAAUGUUUCUUCCAUCAGCUGUCUAUUGAUACCAUAUGCUCACAUAUCUACUGGGUGGUGCUGUCUUAAUGACUCAAAGGACUUUGGAAUACUGGAUGAUACCUCUUUAAAUGCCCUGUAAAAACAUGUUCUAAAUAUAAGACUGAAAAUGAAGCUAGAAUCUUUGAGAUUAGUAUCCAUAUAAUUGAAAUUAUGACCCUAUACCAACAACACAUCCAAAUUACUCUUCCAGUAUAUAGAAUUUACUUUCCCAAUACCUAACCAAAAUUGGCAUUUGACAGAAAAAAAUCACAAAAUACUCUUCAACUCCCUGAGACAGUCAAAUGGGUCAGUAUAAGAGCAAAUCAAUUUGAUCUAAAAUGGAAAGACUCUUGGAGAUACUAAAAAUGCAUGAAAAAUCUUAAAGCAGAAUAAUUUGUUUCUCUCACUUCAUUUUUUACCCCAGUAGUCUAUAGUAUUCUACUGUAUGGACUGUACCACAAUUUGUUUAUUCAUUCACCUGUGAAAAUAUAUGGGUUGUUUCCAGUUUGAGUCUUUUAUGUCUUAAUUGUUUUACUUACU